GCUUAACACAUGCAAGUCGAGGGGCAGCAUUUCAGCUUUCUUGCAAACUGGAGAUGGCGACCGGCGCACGGGUGAGUAACACGUAUCCAACCUGCCGAUAACUCGGGGAUAGCCUUUCGAAAGAAAGAUUAAUACCCGAUGGCAUAAUUAGACCGCAUGGUCUUAUUAUUAAAGAAUUUCGGUUAUCGAUGGGGAUGCGUUCCAUUAGGCAGUUGGUGAGGUAACGGCUCACCAAACCUUCGAUGGAUAGGGGUUCUGAGAGGAAGGUCCCCCACAUUGGAACUGAGACACGGUCCAAACUCCUACGGGAGGCAGCAGUGAGGAAUAUUGGUCAAUGGGCGCAGGCCUGAACCAGCCAAGUAGCGUGAAGGAUGACUGCCCUAUGGGUUGUAAACUUCUUUUAUAUGGGAAUAAAGUUUUCCACGUGUGGAAUUUUGUAUGUACCAUAUGAAUAAGGAUCGGCUAACUCCGUGCCAGCAGCCGCGGUAAUACGGAGGAUCCGAGCGUUAUCCGGAUUUAUUGGGUUUAAAGGGGGCGUAGGUGGACAGUUAAGUCAGUUGUGAAAGUUUGCGGCUCAACCGUAAAAUUGCAGUUGAUACUGGCUGUCUUGAGUACAGUAGAGGUGGGCGGAAUUCGUGGUGUAGCGGUGAAAUGCUUAGAUAUCACGAAGAACUCCGAUUGCGAAGGCAGCUCACUGGACUGCAACUGACACUGAUGCUCGAAAGUGUGGGUAUCAAACAGGAUUAGAUACCCUGGUAGUCCACACAGUAAACGAUGAAUACUCGCUGUUUGCGAUAUACAGUAAGCGGCCAAGCGAAAGCAUUAAGUAUUCCACCUGGGGAGUACGCCGGCAACGGUGAAACUCAAAGGAAUUGACGGGGGCCCGCACAAGCGGAGGAACAUGUGGUUUAAUUCGAUGAUACGCGAGGAACCUUACCCGGGCUUAAAUUGCAUUUGAAUAAUCUGGAAACAGGUUAGCCGCAAGGCAAAUGUGAAGGUGCUGCAUGGUUGUCGUCAGCUCGUGCCGUGAGGUGUCGGCUUAAGUGCCAUAACGAGCGCAACCCUUAUCUUUAGUUACUAACAGGUCAUGCUGAGGACUCUAGAGAGACUGCCGUCGUAAGAUGUGAGGAAGGUGGGGAUGACGUCAAAUCAGCACGGCCCUUACGUCCGGGGCUACACACGUGUUACAAUGGGGGGUACAGAAGGCAGCUACCUGGUGACAGGAUGCUAAUCCCAAAAGCCUCUCUCAGUUCGGAUCGAAGUCUGCAACCCGACUUCGUGAAGCUGGAUUCGCUAGUAAUCGCGCAUCAGCCAUGGCGCGGUGAAUACGUUCCCGGGCCUUGUACACACCGCCCGUCAAGCCAUGAAAGCCGGGGGUACCUGAAGUACGUAAGCGCAAGGAGCGUCCUAGGGUAAAACUGGU
This 1423-nucleotide ribosomal RNA is filed under the name uncultured organism. RNAcentral describes it as "16S ribosomal RNA". It matches the Rfam family "Bacterial small subunit ribosomal RNA". The record is from RNAcentral.